This 543-nucleotide ribosomal RNA is filed under the name Amplicephalus osborni. RNAcentral describes it as "partial 16S ribosomal RNA". The stretch from base 396 to 543 matches the Rfam family "Bacterial large subunit ribosomal RNA", at positions 2473 to 2619 of the family's 2925-position model. Lineage: Eukaryota; Metazoa; Arthropoda; Insecta; Hemiptera; Cicadellidae. The record is from RNAcentral.
CGCCUGUUUAACAAAAACAUUUCUUUUAGAUUUUUUUAAAAGUAAUUUCUGCCCUAUGGUUUAUUCUAAAUGGCUGCAGUAUUUUGACUGUGCAAAGGUAGCAUAAUAAAUAGUUUUUUAAUUGAAGGCUGGUAUGAAUGGAGACUGAGAUACAUUUUUUAUUAAAUAUAAUUUUAUAAUUUAAAUUAAGUUAAAAUGCUUAAUUGAAUUCUUGGGACGAUAAGACCCUAUAGAACUUUAUAUAAAUUUCUAUUAGUUAAUUUUUGUAUAUAUAUUUUACUAAUUUAAUAUAUGGUUUGCUGGGGUGGUGAAUAAAUUUAAACUUUAUUAUAAUUAAUCACUAUGAUUGUUUAUUUUGAUAGGUUAUUAAAUAAUCAAGAAUAAGUUACCUUAGGGAUAACAGCGUAAUAACAAUGGAAAGUUCAUAUUUAUAUUGAUUUUUGCGACCUCGAUGUUGAAUUAAGGUAAAUUUUUAGAAGCAGUAUUCUUUGAGAAUAAGUCUGUUCGACUUUUAAAUCCUUACUUGAUCUGAGUUCAGACCGG